Molecule: long non-coding RNA, 4251 nt
Organism: Macaca fascicularis (crab-eating macaque)
Lineage: Eukaryota; Metazoa; Chordata; Mammalia; Primates; Cercopithecidae
Source: Ensembl
UUUUUUUUUUUUUUUUUAGAGGGAGUUUCGCUCUUGUUGCCCAGGCUGGAGUGCAAUGGCGUGAUCUGGGAUCACUGCAACCUCGCCUCCUGGUUCAAGUGAUUCUCCUGCCUCAGCUGGGAUUACAGGCAUGCACCACCACGCCUGGCAAAUUUUGUAUUUUUAGUAGAGAUGGGGUUUCUCCAUGUUGGUCAGGCUGGUCUCGAACUCCCGACCUCAGGUGAUCCACCUGCCUCGGCCUCCCAAAGUGCUGGGAUUAUAGGCAUGAGCCACCACACCCGGCCUGAUUAAGUCUUUUAUGGCUGAGGCUGUACCUAACACCCACCUUGAUGGGAUCCAGUUAGUCACUUGUUUCUCAUUUAAAUAUACAACUAAGUUGCAAACUACAAAGCUACACAGUCUACAUCAAGCUAACUACACUAUAUAUAGUUUGAUGUAUAAUCAAUGUACAUUAUGAUGCUACAAAAUGCUUUCUCUUUUGAGAAAGACUUACAUUUUUAAAGCCAGUGGAAAAUAAUCCAAAUUAAAAAUCAACACAACAGAUAUAUAGAAAAAAAAGAAGAGCUAGGAACAAAACUGCCUUGUUAAAAUGCUUCUCUUAGAAAGAUGAUAGCUUGCACAUUUGCAUCUAAUCCACCUGACGCACAGAGCAUUACUGCUGCUUCUGUCUCUUCUUGAACAAAUACAGACCUUGGGCUUUACAGACUAAUUCAAAUGUAUAUAAAUCAAUUGCUUCCUUCCUGCUGUUGCUCUUUUCAGAUAGCAGACAAGAGGCUCUAGUUUCAGGAUGGCAGUCAGGAUGGACACAUAAGAAAGAAACAUUUUAGUUUCAAUGUUACCAUAAAAUCAGAAAGGAAAGCGGCAUGCUAUAUUAUAUAUUAUAGUUCAGGUUCCAUUUCUAACUCCACCUAAAAUGAAUAUGAACACUCAUUUUUAAGUGUUUGUCAGUCAAAUAAAAUAAUAGUCUAAAUUUAUUCACAUAUGCACCAACCAAAGGCCAAUAAACUUAAAAGGAAGCCAAGUGUAAUAAAAAGGCAGCUAUAAGGUCUCCUGUUUGAAUUUUUACCCAGUAAGAAAUAAAUGAUACUUAGUAAUCCAUCUUUCUCCCCCACUGCCAUCCCUUCACACAUCUAAAAUAGGCUAACUUCACCUACUCUAACUUCUGAGAUUGUUUUGGAGUUCCUGUUUUAAUUUUUUGUUUUUAAGACUAGAUAGUUACUAGAAUUUUUAGAUACAGGUUCAAUGGUCAUUACAAUAUACUCUAAGGAGGGCUCUAAUUAUUAUAGGGGAUUUCAAAUUUGCAGUUCAACAGGCAGAGUAGAAAUCAUUCGAUUCUAGAAAUUGGUAUCAUUAGCAUUCUUACAGAAGAAAAAUGGAAUGAGAUUUGACAGAUUAAACACAUAUACCACAGGCUGGGCUGCUAUGUGAAUAGUAUUCAACCCUUCAAAGGGGGAACCGUUUUACGAGGUAACAAGAAUUGCUUGCACUGUAAGAAAUAGUGCAAAACUAACCCCCAAACACCAGCAGAUUAUUUAAUGUUCUUUUGGCUUCCACCUAGUAAGAUACCAUAAAUAAUAUGGUCUACUGGGAAAUGUCCCAUGUAGAAAUAACCUAAUAUAUAAGAAAUGAGAAGGUUCCUUGCUAGAGUAACUCUAUAGAAAAUUAGAAUUCUUUCAUCAGUGGGUCUCAAAAUGUAGUAUGCAUAUAAAUUACCUGGAUUGCUGGGUAAAGAUGCAGGUUUCCUCCACCUACUCCCAAAGCUUUUAGCUCUAUUAGGUCUUGGGAGGGGCUCAGCCUGAAUUUUAAACAAAUCCUUUGUGUAUUCUAAUACAGGUAUCCAUGGUCCACACAUUGAGAAACACUGAUCUUAAAGGUGUGAGACAUCCUUUAUAGCUGGCCUCUUCUGUAGGGUGAUUCCACGGGGGCGGUGUGCUCUGUCCAAAAGUGUGAAUUACCUGCCAUUUCAUCAUUAACCUAUAAUGAAAAUUUGACAAGGAAAGCUCUUGGUUUACAAAAGUCACUUAUUAAAGUGAGAAUUUGUGUUUUUUAAAAAAGAGAUUAUCCCCCAAAUCACAAACUCACUGAAUAACAGCUGAUUGUCUAGAAUCUAUUAUGAUAGCUAGACAAUCUAUUGUAAUAUUAGGGUCCAUGGGGACAAUGAAGAGAGACACAGGGAAAAUAGUGGGGGGAAAAAAGGCAAAAGGCAAUAAUCUACUUAUAAUUCUGCCUAGACCUAGCCUUAUGUGUCAUAUAAAAGUGUACACUAGGCCGGGUGCAGAGGCUUACACCUGUAAUCCCAGCACUUUGGGAGGCCAAGGCGGGCGGAUCACUCGAGGUCAGGAGUUUGAGACCAGCCUGGCCAACAUGGAGAAACCCCAUCUCUACUAAAACUGCAAAAAAUUAGUGGAGUGUGGUGGCAGGCGCCUGUAGUCCCAGCUACUCGGAAGGCUGAGGCAGAAUCGCUUGACCCUGGGAGGCGGAGGUUGCAGUGAGCUGGGAUUGUGCCACAGAACUGUGCCUCAAAAAAAAAAAAAAGUGUAUACCCCACACAAGGGCACUCUGGAGCAAACCCAUUAAUUAGUCUCUCCAACCCCAUUUUCAUACCAUACACAAAACUACCAAAUUAAUCUCUCCUUAAACAUCAAUUCAUUUUUCAGUUAGAGAACCUAUACUAAGUCCCCUGACUCCUCCUCUGGAGUCUAUGUGAACUAUGAACUACUCCGCUUCUGAUGAUGAAGAUUCUGUAUAACGCCAUCUCACUUAACCAAUCCAACCAUAAGUCUGUCACCUUCUCCUAAAGUGGACUUCCCAGCUCCAGUCAGACGGAGCUCACAUUUCAUUAACUUUCGAGGGGUUGACUCUUAGGCUUUACACCUUUGCUCUAGUUGGUCUCAUAACUGAUCAGUAUCCCUACAUGCAAAUACCUUUCACCCUUUCUCAGCCUUUAAGAUAGUCCUUUGAGGCCUACCCCAAAUCCCACUCCCACCAUAAAUCUAAUCCCACCACUACAUUCUUUUCUCUUCAUAUGGAGCAUUUUGCACCUUCACCAAGUACUGAAGCACUUGGCUAUAUUCAACCUUGGGUUUUUUACACCAUUCUUUAGCAUCUUCCCCAUCGCCCACCACCUUUCCAAGUUCCUUGAAGGCGGUAACACUUACAGAAUUUCCUGGUAUCUCCAUCCCCACCCAAUCUCUCACUCAAACAAAAUGCUAGCAUAUAAAAUUGGCUUGAUAAAUAGCUAUCACAAUUUAUGCAUUUAAUUAUCAUCAAAUUGCAUCCCAAUGAAUACCUGUAAAUUGAUUUAUUAAACAAAUAUCUGAGCAACCAUCAUACAUCAAGAGCCAUUCGGAGGCACUGGGGCUAUCCUUAGUGCAUUCUUUGUCCUCAACUAUCUUAUGUAAGCCCUUAAAACAAAAACUAUCUUUUUUCUGCUACUUCAUUACAGAUUCUGAGCGUUAACCAGAGCGUUUUCUACUCUGUAAGUUACUGGCACCACUAUGACAGCCGAGAAGAGAAGCUAAAACACCAGUUUCCCCCAGACCAACAAUGCUGAGUCUUCUAUUUUAUCACAUUAACAACAUGAGAUUAAUUUAAGGUAUGGAAUUUACUUCCUGUGGGUGCCCUAUUCAGUACCUAGUAGAUACAUAUAUUAGAUGUCAGCUGUAAUAAUUUUCAUUUUAAAAGCCACAAACUAAAGAUACAUAUAAACUGCCAUCGUUAAAGAUUUCUAUCACUAUGAUUACCUUUUUCUGAAAUAAUAAAAAGGACAGGACUAUACACAUAGAAAAAAGGCUUCUCAAGGAUUAAAAGCUCUUAUGAGACUUAGUAUUUAUUAUUUUAAAAAAUCAUGGUAAAAUGUAUACAACAUGAAAUUUGCCAUUUUAAUGGCUUAUAUAUUAAGAAAAAUAUUUAAAUAGUACUGUAAUACUAACUAAAACAUGGGAUUCUUUAUUGCAAAAAACUCGCUAUGAUUAAUACCUGAAUUUGGAAACUAGUGUUAGUAUCUUUUUUACAUUCUACUGCUGAAAAAGUAAUUAAAAUAUGCCAUUAGUGGUUAAAUCAUUUGUAUUUCAGGUAGUAAAAUAAAAUACAAUACUUAAUAUUAUACUUCCUAGUUUUUCUUUUUUUUUUUUUUUGAGACGGAGUCUUACUCUUCAUUCCCAGGCUGUGGUGAAAUGGCACGAUCUCCAGUCACCACAACCUCCACCUCCUGGGUUCCAGCAAUUCUUCUCCCUCACACUCCCAAGUAGC